AAUCGGCUAAAGCGUUCCUGGGAAACUUUGUUGGCAGUGUUGCACCACUCGUUACACUCACAAUCGCUGAUCGAUUCUUAAGAACGUUACAACUUCGCGGUCAUGUAGUAAUGGUGGUGUCCAGAGUCACGUGUGGUCAUCUGUUUGGCAACUGGGACGCAACAUAAUUUCUACAGCGUGCAACGCGCCAUAAACGCCGCGUCGCCGAAUUCUCGUGGGCUCGUUAAUGUUCAAGCCACGUCGAAGGUAACGGCAAAGGAAAGGAAAGGAAAGGAAAGAAGGCAACGGUAGAAAAGAAAAAGAAGGAAAAACGAAGAGUGGAUGUUUAAAAGUGAGGAAAAUGAAAAGUAGACGGACGAGAGACACGAUUCGUGAGAAACGGGGAACGAUGAAGGCUCGAUAAAGAGCGGGGAUGAAAUAAGAAACAUUUCGAGCGAAGGCGAGCAGACAAGACGUAACGUUUCGUUUGACGUUGAGGAUGAGGAGGGAAGAAAGGAAUGGGGGGAAGGGGUCUUCAUUACGUUCUGAAAGGCUGCCGUUUUAAGAGCAAACGAAUAGGAAUAGUUAACAAUGAGACAGAGGCGCCUGGGAACGGAAGCUGAAAAGGAAGAAAAUUUGCACUUGAUACCGGUCGGAAAGAAAAGGUCACAAAUUAGAACAUCCUACAUUUAAUUUAAUGACUUCUGAGAUCUCUUUUCUGGGCUAGAAAGUCGAAUCGAUUUUAAAAUUGCUUGUCGACUUGCGAUCGAUAUUAAAUUCAUGUGGGUGAACGAGUAUUUUUAUAUAGCUAUCUACAUUUUACAUAUAUACACAUAUUACAUAUUACAUAUUACAUAUAUACAUAUAUACACUACUGAAUGAACAUAUAUCGUUCUUUUAUUUUUAUCAAAACUUAAU
Long non-coding RNA from Apis cerana (Asiatic honeybee), 897 nucleotides. RefSeq lists it as uncharacterized. Lineage: Eukaryota; Metazoa; Arthropoda; Insecta; Hymenoptera; Apidae. The record is from RefSeq and is a predicted model, not a curated record.